UACAGAGGGUGCAAGCGUUAAUCGGAAUUACUGGGCGUAAAGGGUGCGUAGGUGGUUACGUAAGUUAGGUGUGAAAGUCCUGGGCUUAACCUGGGAACUGCGCCUAAUACUGUGUGACUAGAGUACUGUAGAGGAAGGUGGAAUUUCCAGUGUAGCGGUGAAAUGCGUAGAUAUUGGAAGGAACACCAGUGGCGAAGGCGACCUUCUGGACAGAUACUGACACUGAGGCACGAAAGCAUGGGGAGCAAACAGG
RNAcentral lists this ribosomal RNA (253 nucleotides) under uncultured organism. RNAcentral describes it as "partial 16S ribosomal RNA". It matches the Rfam family "Bacterial small subunit ribosomal RNA", at positions 524 to 776 of the family's 1533-position model. The record is from RNAcentral.